UACCUGCAGCUCAAGUGGUGACCGCUAUUAUUGGGCCUAAAACGUUCGUAGCCGGCUGAGUAAAUGCUUGGGUAAAUCGUGCCGCUUAACGGUACGAAUUCCGGGUAGACUGCUUAGCUUGAGACCGGGAGAAGCUAGAGGUACUCCUGGGGUAGAGGUGAAAUUCUGUAAUCCUGGGGGGACCACCAGUGGCGAAGGCGUCUAGCUAGAACGGGUCUGACGGUGAGGGACGAAACCCUGGGGCGCGAACCGGAUUAGAUACCCGGGUAGUCCAGGGCGCAAACGCUGCUUGCUUGAUGUUAGCUGGGCUCCGAGCUCAGCUAGUGUCGGAGAGAAGUUGUUAAGCAAGCUGCCUGGGAAUCGAUCGCAAGAUUGAAACUUAAAGGAUUGGCGGGGAGCACAGCAACGGUGGAGCGUGCGGUUU
RNAcentral lists this ribosomal RNA (424 nucleotides) under uncultured archaeon. RNAcentral's name for it is "bacterial SSU rRNA". It matches the Rfam family "Archaeal small subunit ribosomal RNA", at positions 474 to 903 of the family's 1478-position model. The record is from RNAcentral.